This 253-nucleotide ribosomal RNA is filed under the name uncultured bacterium. Its description in RNAcentral is "partial 16S ribosomal RNA". It matches the Rfam family "Bacterial small subunit ribosomal RNA", at positions 524 to 776 of the family's 1533-position model. The record is from RNAcentral.
UACGUAGGGGGCAAGCGUUAUCCGGAAUUACUGGGUGUAGAGGGUGAGUAGGCGGCAUGGUAAGCCAGAUGUGAAAGCCUUGGGCUUAACCCGAGGAUUGCAUUUGGAACUAUCAAGCUAGAGUACAGGAGAGGAAAGCGGAAUUCCUAGUGUAGCGGUGAAAUGCGUAGAUAUUAGGAAGAACACCAGUGGCGAAGGCGGCUUUCUGGACUGAAACUGACGCUGAGGCACGAAAGCGUGGGGAGCGAACAGG